This 1393-nucleotide long non-coding RNA is filed under the name Lonchura striata (white-rumped munia). RNAcentral describes it as "domestica (Bengalese finch) lncRNA (ENSLSDG00000010336.1)". The record is from RNAcentral. Lineage: Eukaryota; Metazoa; Chordata; Aves; Passeriformes; Estrildidae.
AUGAUCCUACAGGCUUUUCCCAACCUUAAUAAUUCCACAAUUCAGAGCUCCACAUUGGCCACUUUAGCCAAAGCCAGGACGCUGGGGCAGGGGGGAAGCAGAGCCACCUUCACCAGGCAGGGUUUGGUUUGCUUUCAGUUUGGGAUUUUUUUUUGUUACAAUUUUUUCUCUGUUUUUUCUCUCUCUGCAGGUUUGCAGUGGAAAAGGAGGAGCUCCCAGAGCAGCAGCAGGAGAUUCAAACCCUCCAGAUUCAGCCUUAAAUCAGGAACAAAACUCUUCCUGACCCUCCUUUUCCCUGGAAUGUCCCAAAUAUCCCCCUGGCAGCAGGAGCUGGGCUGGGCUGGGUUGAGGAUCUGCACAGAGCAAACAAAGCAACAGAGAGCUCCAGAGUGAAAAUGCCGCGAGGAAUCACAAAUCAAGACUACUCACUUGAACUCAGCCUAAAGUGAAGCUUCAAAAAGCCUGGAGGGGAGUGCAGAUUACAAAGGAAUCCCACCUGGUCUGGGCAUUCCAAGGAGAGCUUUUCCCCUGCUGGAGCCUGGCAUCUGGGGUGCAGUGCUGGAGGAGAGCCUGGAAGCUUCCAGUUAAAUUAUUCCUGAGUUUGUGCAGGGUGGGGUUAGCCCUGGCCUCCAAGAGGAGCCACUUUGCCUCGGUGAGUUUUCCUCCUGCAAGUAAAGAUCAAAGGGUUGGAAUUUCUCAUGGAAUGGUUGGGCUGGGAGGAUCCUAAAGCCCAUCCCUGUCCCAUGGCAGGGACAGCUCCCACUGUCCCAGCCCAGCCCUAGGCACUGCCAGGGACCCAGGACAGCCCCAGCUGCUCUGGGAAUUCCAGCCCAGCCCCUCCCCACCCUCACAGGGAACAAUUCCUCCCCAAAAUCCAAUUUAAAGCUUUUCUCUGCCAGUUUAAAGCCUUCCCCCCUUGUCCUCUCCUGACACCUCCCACCAGACCAGGCUUUCCCAAAGCCACCAAACUGGCCUUGAUUUCUGGCACUGCCAAACAUGAAACCGUGCUACCUCUUCUUCCUUUUCCUUUUCAGUGAAAAAAACAACCCCAUUUUCUUCUCUUGCUGCUUUUCCUGCUGGUUUGCUGCCCGUGCCCCGGAGUGUCUGAGAGAUUUCCCUCCUGGAGAAGGACCCUGGGCUGGAGGGAGCCCCACACCCACAGGUAACUGCUGCCAGGGCGUUUUCACAGAACCACAGAAUAAUAGAACCACAGAAUCGCAGAGCCACAGAAUCCCAGAAUAAUAGAAUCACAGAAUCAACAAUCACAGAAUCACAGAAUCACAGAAUCACAGAAUCACAGAAUCACAGAAUCACAGAAUCACUGAAUAAUAGAACCACAAAAUCACAGAAUCACAGAAUCCCAGAAUCACAGAACCACAGAACCACAGAGUAA